This 331-nucleotide unclassified non-coding RNA is filed under the name soil metagenome. Its description in RNAcentral is "partial contains 5.8S ribosomal RNA, internal transcribed spacer 2, and large subunit ribosomal RNA". The stretch from base 1 to 120 matches the Rfam family "5.8S ribosomal RNA", at positions 35 to 154 of the family's 154-position model. The record is from RNAcentral.
GAUGAAGAACGCAUCGAAAUGCGAUAAGUAGUGUGAAUUGCAGAAUUCAGUGAAUCAUCGAAUCUUUGAACGCACAUUGCGCCCUUCGGUAUUCCGUUGGGCAUGCCUGUUCGAGCGUCAUUUAAACCUUCAAGCUAUGCUUGGUGUUGGGUGUUUGUUCCGCCUCUGCGCGUGGACUCGCCUCAAAUUCAUUGGCAGCCGGUAUGUUGGCUUCGUGCGCAGCACAUUGCAAGCGACUUCAACAAACCUCCUUCCAUAAGCCUUUUUUUUACUUUGACCUCGGAUCAGGUAGGGAUACCCGCUGAACUUAAGCAUAUCAAUAAGCGGAGGA